AGCCUGAUGCAGCCAUGCCGCGUGUGUGAAGAAGGCCUUCGGGUUGUAAAGGCACUUUCAGUCGUGAGGAAGGUGGGGUAGUUAAUAGCUGCAUCAUUUGACGUUAGCGACAGAAGAAGCACCGGCUAACUCCGUGCCAGCAGCCGCGGUAAUACGGAGGGUGCGAGCGUUAAUCGGAAUUACUGGGCGUAAAGCGCAUGCAGGUGGUUAGUUAAGUCAGAUGUGAAAGCCCGGGGCUCAACCUCGGAACUGCAUUUGAAACUGGCUGACUAGAGUACUGUAGAGGGGGGUAGAAUUUCAGGUGUAGCGGUGAAAUGCGUAGAGAUCUGAAGGAAUACCAGUGGCGAAGGCGGCCCCCUGGACAGAUACUGACACUCAGAUGCGAAAGCGUGGGGAGCAAACAGGAUUAGAUACCCUGGUAGUCCACGCCGUAAACGAUGUCUACUUGGAGGUUGUGGCCUUGAGCCGUGGCUUUCGGAGCUAACGCGUUAAGUAGACCGCCUGGG
Molecule: ribosomal RNA, 506 nt
Filed under: Vibrio sp. HDEP22
Lineage: Bacteria; Pseudomonadati; Pseudomonadota; Gammaproteobacteria; Vibrionales; Vibrionaceae
Description: bacterial SSU rRNA
Rfam family: Bacterial small subunit ribosomal RNA
Source: RNAcentral